AGCAGCCGCGGUAAUUCCAGCUCCAAUAGCGUAUAUUAAAGUUGUUGCAGUUAAAAAGCUCGUAGUUGAAUUUCGAGAUCAGUACGCUGGUCGUGCCUUUGGUAUGCACUGGUGUCACUGGUUUCUCCCUUCUGAAGAACUGUCAUGCCAUUCAGUUGGUGUGGCGGGGAAUCAGGACUGUUACUUUGAAAAAAUUAGAGUGUUUAAAGCAGGCUCGCGCUUGAAUACAUUAGCAUGGAAUAAUGAAAUAGGACGUUUGACCCUAUUUUGUUGGUUUCUAGGAUCGACGUAAUGAUUAAUAGGGAUAGUUGGGGGCAUUAGUAUUCAAUUGUCAGAGGUGAAAUUCUUGGAUUUAUUGAAGACUAACUACUGCGAAAGCAUUUGCCAAGGAUGUUUUCAUUAAUCAAGAACGAAAGUUAGGGGAUCGAAGACGAUCAGAUACCGUCGUAGUCUUAACCAUAAACUAUGCCGACUAGGGAUCGGAUGAUGUUAAUUUUUAAUGACUCU
RNAcentral lists this ribosomal RNA (507 nucleotides) under uncultured Glomus. RNAcentral describes it as "SSU rRNA". It matches the Rfam family "Eukaryotic small subunit ribosomal RNA", at positions 569 to 1078 of the family's 1831-position model. Lineage: Eukaryota; Fungi; Glomeromycota; Glomeromycetes; Glomerales; Glomeraceae. The record is from RNAcentral.